CUUUAGUACCCUGUGAUUUAAAGU
Molecule: microRNA, 24 nt
Filed under: Ananas comosus (pineapple)
Lineage: Eukaryota; Viridiplantae; Streptophyta; Magnoliopsida; Poales; Bromeliaceae
Description: microRNA s1248_c026b
Source: RNAcentral